GAUGAACGCUGGCGGCGUGCCUAAUACAUGCAAGUCGAGCGAACAGACGAGGAGCUUGCUCCUCUGACGUUAGCGGCGGACGGGUGAGUAACACGUGGAUAACCUACCUAUAAGACUGGGAUAACUUCGGGAAACCGGAGCUAAUGCCGGAUAAUAUAUUGAACCGCAUGGUUCAAUAGUGAAAGACGGUUUUGCUGUCACUUAUAGAUGGAUCCGCGCCGCAUUAGCUAGUUGGUAAGGUAACGGCUUACCAAGGCAACGAUGUGUAGCCGACCUGAGAGGGUGAUCGGCCACACUGGAACUGAGACACGGUCCAGACUCCUACGGGAGGCAGCAGUAGGGAAUCUUCCGCAAUGGGCGAAAGCCUGACGGAGCAACGCCGCGUGAGUGAUGAAGGUCUUCGGAUCGUAAAACUCUGUUAUUAGGGAAGAACAAAUGUGUAAGUAACUAUGCACGUCUUGACGGUACCUAAUCAGAAAGCCACGGCUAACUACGUG
Molecule: ribosomal RNA, 497 nt
Filed under: uncultured bacterium
Lineage: Bacteria
Description: partial 16S ribosomal RNA
Rfam family: Bacterial small subunit ribosomal RNA
Source: RNAcentral